This is a transfer RNA of Ovis aries (sheep), 72 nucleotides long. It matches the Rfam family "tRNA". Rfam says of the family: Transfer RNA (tRNA) molecules are approximately 80 nucleotides in length. The record is from Rfam. NCBI's taxonomy places the organism in Eukaryota, Metazoa, Chordata, Mammalia, Artiodactyla, Bovidae.
UCCCUUUUGUCUCAGCUGGUAAAGAAUCCGCCUGCAAUGCGGGUGACCUGGGUUCGAUCCAUGGAUUAGGAA